This is a non-coding RNA of Podarcis lilfordi (Lilford's wall lizard), 74 nucleotides long. The record is from the annotation of a GenBank genome assembly. NCBI's taxonomy places the organism in Eukaryota, Metazoa, Chordata, Lepidosauria, Squamata, Lacertidae.
GGUUCAGGAGCGCAGUGGGUCAGUGCAUCUGGCUGUUAACCUGAAGGUUGGUGGUUCGAGCCCAACCAGGGUCA